AGUGAACGCUGGCGGUAGGCCUAACACAUGCAAGUCGAACGGCAGCACAGUAAGAGCUUGCUCUUACGGGUGGCGAGUGGCGGACGGGUGAGGAAUACAUCGGAAUCUACUUUUUCGUGGGGGAUAACGUAGGGAAACUUACGCUAAUACCGCAUACGACCUACGGGUGAAAGCAGGGGAUCUUCGCACCUUGCGCGAUUGAAUGAGCCGAUGUCGGAUUAGCUAGUUGGCGGGGUAAAGGCCCACCAAGGCGACGAUCCGUAGCUGGUCUGAGAGGAUGAUCAGCCACACUGGAACUGAGACACGGUCCAGACUCCUACGGGAGGCAGCAGUGGGGAAUAUUGGACAAUGGGCGCAAGCCUGAUCCAGCCAUACCGCGUGGGUGAAGAAGGCCUUCGGGUUGUAAAGCCCUUUUGUUGGGAAAGAAAAGCAGCAGGUUAAUACCCCGAUGUUCUGACGGUACCCAAAGAAUAAGCACCGGCUAACUUCGUG
RNAcentral lists this ribosomal RNA (492 nucleotides) under uncultured bacterium. RNAcentral describes it as "partial 16S ribosomal RNA". It matches the Rfam family "Bacterial small subunit ribosomal RNA", at positions 29 to 507 of the family's 1533-position model. The record is from RNAcentral.